GUGGGGAAUAUUGGGCAAUGGGCGCAAGCCUGACCCAGCAACGCCGCGUGAAGGAAGAAGGCUUUCGGGUUGUAAACUUCUUUUCUCAGGGACGAAAAAAAUGACGGUACCUGAGGAAUAAGCCACGGCUAACUACGUGCCAGCAGCCGCGGUAAUACGUAGGUGGCAAGCGUUAUCCGGAUUUACUGGGUGUAAAGGGCGUGUAGGCGGGAAAGCAAGUCAGGCGUGAAAACUGGGGGCUCAACCUCCAGCCUGCGUUUGAAACUGUUUUUCUUGAGUGUCGGAGAGGUAAUCGGAAUUCCGUGUGUAGCGGUGAAAUGCGUAGAUAUACGGAGGAACACCAGUGGCGAAGGCGGAUUACUGGACGAUAACUGACGCUGAGGCGCGAAAGCGUGGGGAGCAAACAGGAUUAGAUACCCGAGUAGUCC
Molecule: ribosomal RNA, 428 nt
Filed under: uncultured bacterium
Lineage: Bacteria
Description: bacterial SSU rRNA
Rfam family: Bacterial small subunit ribosomal RNA
Source: RNAcentral